This is a long non-coding RNA of Falco peregrinus (peregrine falcon), 3387 nucleotides long. RefSeq lists it as uncharacterized. The record is from RefSeq and is a predicted model, not a curated record. The transcript has 2 exons. Lineage: Eukaryota; Metazoa; Chordata; Aves; Falconiformes; Falconidae.
GAAGAAGUUUCAUAGAUGAAUGCCUGCUAUUCAGCUCCUGACAAACCACAUUGAGGAAAUGUAGCUGUAACAAACGUAGUUCUGUGAAUUUGCUUUGAAGAUCACAAUGGAUCGGUGCAUUGAUCAAAGAAAAAAGAGCUGGCAGUCUUCACAAAAAUUUUCACACUUAUCUACAAUUAACAUCUUCCCAUUCUCCAUAUUCCCAGAGCUCUGUUGCUGCAUUAGUCACAAGCUACAAGCUCUCUUUUAUCGCGCUGCUCUGUCACACAGGAUGCCAGCUUCCACCACAGCUGCAUCUUCACAACCACAACCACCAGAACAUCCCGUACCUUUUGCAACCACAGAAAGCCCAGGAAUCUGGUUUCAAAGAAAAAUAAGCUACUUCACUAACCUACUGGAAUACAUAAUUUGUUCAUCCUGCACUGAACCAACUCCCCAGAUGAAUCCUAAAGUUCUCUGUUAGAGCUUUUAGAAGCUCUCAUUAUAUAAUAAUAAUAGCUCUAUUAGAAUGAUAAUAUCAUUAUUAUCUACGACUUCUUAUUCAAUGUGCCAACAAGAACCUACACCACAACCAACCCCGAGAGAAGAGACUCCCAGAUCAGUAGGGCACAGGCUGACUCACACCACUUCCACUGCAGAGACAGGCGUACGUAAACACAUAUCUGGCAAUAACAUUAUAUCUGAGACUAAUUUUGGUGCAAAAAGUUUCUUGCAGGCGCUUCAUUAUUCUUAUUAGCAAUUCUAUUUCAGCAGCAGCAAUACCUGCCACGUGCAAUGAAGGAUGCAGAACUGCAGAUAAAUACAUAAAAACCCAAAGCAAAGCAAGCAAGGGAUUCAGCUCACACCUAAAAAAAGUAUUAUCUGUCUCUAAUUAAAAGAGAAAUUCACAUUUACAAACCACGGAAGUGUAGUCGCUUUGUAUUAAUGUUUUCGUUGUGUAAUCCUUCAUUGUUCCAUUAACAAAAUAACUGAAAUCUAUGUACGAAGUAACAAAACAGUUAAUUAAAUGAGGUCUCUCAAGGCGCUAAUAAAGCGGCAUGGUUUAAUGCAUUUCGUAAAAAUCAAGGAACCACGAAUGAACAACAUGGUAAAAGGUCGCAAUUUCACACUUACACACUCAAAAAGCAAAACCCCCAAAUGCAGCACAUGGAGCUGGCCACCCUGUGCCAUCCUGCGGGGCCAGCUCCUCCUCCAGCGCUCGAGUCCUCCUGCAAAGGCUUCAGGUUCAACAUUCUGCAGCAUUAGACUUGGAUAAAACCUCAGAAGUAUGAGUUUUCACCUUGUAUUUUCAAACACCCCAAUAAUGCCUGCUCUUUGUCAUGCUGAUGAUGAUGGAAGAACAAACAAAAAUGGACAAAAAUAGCCCCUAUGUGGAGACCAAAAAGUAAAAGCUGGUAAGGAAGCACCAACAGGAGGCUGACUUGGAGGCUGUCUUGAGGGCAGAAUUUCAUUUCCUUAUCCUCUAGUAAAGCUUAUGGUAGUCGGUUCCUACAAAAGCAACAAGUCCCAAGGAGAUGGAAUUGGUUUAGAAGCAUUUCAACGGGUUUAACGUGCCCUUCAGCCCUGCACCUGUGCUGCUGCCCCUGUGCUCGCCCGACCACCUGCAGAACACGGCCCUGACGCUUGCGGGGCUUCCUACCACCCGGUCUGUACCACUGGUAGGUUCUUCGGUCCGAUCCACCAUCCAGCCUCACAAACAGCUGGUCUGGAUGAGGAAGGGGUUCCCAGAAGAACUCCUGGUGACAUUGCAGACGAAGGCAGCAAGGCAGAGAGGGCAGGUCAAUUUGGACAAAGCAUUCAACAGCAGAGUUAUCGUUCAUGUUCAUUAACGUGCCAAAGUUGUCAGCAAAACAGAAAUGAUAUGUAGACCAAAUAUUCUUCCUGGGUAUGUGACUUACAAAGCUUUAUGGCAGUGGCAGAAGUUUAGCAGGCAAAGACGAACGGCCAGGAAUGCACAAUGAGCUGAGAAGUGCAAUAAGAACGUCGGGUAAGAGACUAACGCCGAAAAGGGAACAACAUGCUCCACCUCCGCGCCUGCCUGUCACCUCCCUGCACCCGGUCACCGAGACCCCAGCACAUUGGCAAAGGAGCCCGGAGCACACACAGUGAUCUGAUGCACCAAAGCCCUGGUCCUAAGGAGAAAUGAUGAAACCCCGUGGCCCCGGCAGCCAGGACACCUUCUACACAAGGUGAGAGGUGGACGUUGUAGAGCUGGGGUGCACCUUUACAUGGGUCCAGGUGAUGGCUACUUCGCCCACAGGUAUCUUGGGAGAACACAUCCCCAUUGAGCAUCAGAAGAGCCUCGGAGAGACAGGUGGCUUCAGACACCAUGCCCGUUCGCCUCACCUCUGUGUUUGGAAAAGGGGCAGUUCACAUGACACAACACACGUGUAUGGACGCACACGGAGCAGUGCCAGCUCGGGUGGGGUCUGCCCCGCAUCCCCUCCACACACCGGCAGCACGGCACAAAGCCAGCCAGACCCUUGUUCGUCCCCAGCACAGAACACGGUGAUGCUUCCAACCAACCCAACUCCGUUUUGUUUCAGAAAUAACCACCAUCUGCUCUACACUUUCAAUUCCUAGCAAGCUCCCAAUUAACCAACCGUUAAAUAACCUUCCAUUAAUGUGAUCAAGAACAUCAACAUAUGCGUUCUCAUAAAACAGAAUGACCAAAAGUGUUAUUUAAAUGAAACUGCCGAGAGCAACAAAGGAAAAAAAAAAAAAAGUCAUUCUCCAAUACAUACCCCUCCAACAGCCACACCAGCAGGCAGGAGCGUCCGAGAUGAUGUGUUAGUGCAUCCUCAGUGUGCGUUUUAGUUACACAUCAUCACCUAGUGAUGCUCUCUCUGCACCUGACAUCAGCCCCGCAUGCAAUUUACAGGUGCAGGCGGCCCCCUUAGAACACCCCUGCACCCCCCAGCACCUUCCAGGGACUGCUCUCCUCCAGCAGGAUUAGACACGGGGUGAACGGCUCCAAGUUAAAAGCGUAGGAGAGGUGAUACGAGGUAACAUUAAAUAUUUAUCUAAGCCCAACAGUGUCUCUCUGACUGCGACCAACAGCAGAUUGCUGGUGGAGAGGAUGACAGCAAGGAAAACUUAAUUACACUCUCCAAGCCUCCAGCAAUUUGCAGCUCAUGAAUUUCUCAAGCCAGAGGUGGUGACUUUUCACAGCCCCUGGGGGAUUUUUCUUUUAGCAAACUCCUUGGGAUUCCGAAUCCCAGCUGUUAUGCACUUCAGGUAAGAAAAGUGCCUGGCAGCAGCCUUACCCCUGGGCACUGAGCAUCAUGAUUCCUGGGGAAACCUCAUGGAACAUCUAAAUGGGUACUCCAGGGCGAUCUGUUUUUCAGUACAGAACUACAAUUCCAUGAAAGAGAAGCGAGAGGGGGG